This 254-nucleotide ribosomal RNA is filed under the name uncultured bacterium. RNAcentral describes it as "partial 16S ribosomal RNA". It matches the Rfam family "Bacterial small subunit ribosomal RNA", at positions 524 to 776 of the family's 1533-position model. The record is from RNAcentral.
CACGUAGGGUGCGAGCGUUGUCCGGAAUUAUUGGGCGUAAAGAGCUCGUAGGCGGUGUGUCGCGUCGGCCGUGAAAACCUGCAGCUUAACUGUGGGCUUGCGGUCGAUACGGGCAUCACUGGAGUUCGGCAGGGGAGACUGGAAUUCCUGGUGUAGCGGUGAAAUGCGCAGAUAUCAGGAGGAACACCGGUGGCGAAGGCGGGCCUCUGGGCCGAUACUGACGCUGAGGAGCGAAAGCGUGGGGAGCAAACAGG